UCCGACCCACUCAAACUAACCCUAACCCUGCAUUCCAUUGUUUCCAUCAUGGGAAAUCUAAGUGACGCUCUCAAAUUAACAGGAACAUUGCGCAGAAGAUAUGUCCUGGGCAAUGGACUGAGAAAACGGGCAGAGAUUUGGAGGUAUUUGUGCAUGCUCUAUAUUACAGUUGAAAAAUGUAUAACAGCUUUCCAAUGCUGUUACUUGUGGCGAACACCUUUUUGCUUGAGUUGAUGCGUGCCCGCAGGUGGAAUAAUGUCACAUGUCACACACAUUUUCUGUUGUUUUGAUUUAUUUACUCAUUCAUCAUUUUAUGUGCGCACCUCUCCUAAUCAACCCACCCAUUAAAUAGACAGGCACAAUAGCACCAUCUGCUGGCACAAAAAAUACAUAACAAUAAACUGCAAAACCCCAAUCUGGCUCCUACAAAGUGUAUGUGACAAGAUGAUUAACGUUUGCUUUUGUUAAAUCAGGGCUUCCCCAGCCAGGACUUUGGCUCAGACUGUGGCAUAUUCAUGUUGAUGGUAGGUCAUAACGAGCUGUAAUGCACAAAUAUUGUAUCUAGAAUAACUUUCCAACAUGGACUUUUUUAAAGUUAUCUCACAUGUUGUCUCAUAAUUUUUUUUUAAAGUCUGCCAUGUACAUCGUUAUGGAGUCACAGUUUGACUACUCAGUUGUAAGUACUUUUCAACACGCAGUGUCAUCCUCAAGAUUGUAUUUUGUAUUGUGCACUAAAAUGAAAUACAAACAACAAUUUCAGCAUGACAUGCCUGUUUGGCGGCGAUGGUGGUGCCUGUUGCUCCUGGAGAACAAUUCUUUGAACAGGUAGACAGUUUAAGUAAACUAGAUGUCCUAAUUAACUGGAAGACAAUCAAUAUAUUGUACUUAAAGACAUAUUGUCAUUACAGUUGUGGGAAAAUCUUCACCCACUGGACCAAAGAAUGUCAAGAGCUCAUUGCUGGAAAGCAUACUCCGGUCUUCAGUCUAAAGAGGAAGGCAGAGCAGCAGGACAUAGAGGUUAGAAAAUUGCCUUGUAAAAACAGUAUUAUCUCAGUGGGAGUCCUUCAAAAUGCACACAGUUGUAUGGAUCAACAUUGUCUCGAUGUAUUUGGUAAUUGAUGUUACUUUUCAAAUUGCCUUGUCAAGGAAACCAUGACGCAGACGGUAUCGGAUGUCCAAAGAAUGUGCAUGGCAGAUUCAAUGCAAUUCUGUGUCUACCAGACAUCGAACAACACAGGAGAGAGGUGUGUUGCAGACUCAAUUUAAUAAAUGCAAUUAUCGGGGCCUAUUCAGUGAUUUUCCAUGAAGUGACCACUUUUACAUAUAGUUUAAAUGCACGAAUCAUGCAGGAAAAUUAUUUAUACAUUCAAAUGUGCUGCAGAGGUAUAAUCAAUUGGACAGCGUGUUUGUUUAAUAUUAUGUUUGUCUCUCAUUUGAUCAGAUUGCUUUACCCUGAGGUAAACGUCAUAAAAUGGGUCCAGUGCAAGACGUGCAGGGGCUGGCUGCAUCAGGAUUGUGCUGGGAUUGAAAUGGAGCCGUUUGACUGCGGGUGCGAGG
Xyrichtys novacula (pearly razorfish) is the source of this 1557-nucleotide non-coding RNA. The record is from the annotation of a GenBank genome assembly. NCBI's taxonomy places the organism in Eukaryota, Metazoa, Chordata, Actinopteri, Labriformes, Labridae.